CCUACGGGCGGCAGCAGUGAGGAAUAUUGGUCAAUGGGCGGGAGCCUGAACCAGCCAAGCCGCGUGAGGGAAGAAGGUACAGCGUAACGUAAACCUCUUUUGUCAGGGAACAAAGGCGGGGACUAGUCCCCGGAUGAGGGUACCUGAAGAAAAAGCAUCGGCUAACUCCGUGCCAGCAGCCGCGGUAAUACGGAGGAUCCGAGCGUUAUCCGGAUUUAUUGGGUUUAAAGGGAGCGUAGAUGGGUUGUUAAGUCAGUUGGGAAAGUUUGCGGCUCAACCGUAAAAUUGCAAUUGAUACUGGCAGCCUUGAGUACAGUUGAGGUAGGCGGAAUUCGUGGUGUAGCGGUGAAAUGCUUAGAUAUCACGAAGAACUCCGAUUGCGAAGGCAGCUUACUAAACUGCCACUGACAUUGAUGCUCGAAAGUGUGGGUAUCAAACAGGAUUAGAUACCCCAGUAGUC
RNAcentral lists this ribosomal RNA (460 nucleotides) under uncultured bacterium. RNAcentral's name for it is "partial 16S ribosomal RNA". It matches the Rfam family "Bacterial small subunit ribosomal RNA", at positions 338 to 795 of the family's 1533-position model. The record is from RNAcentral.